Molecule: long non-coding RNA, 247 nt
Organism: Lemur catta (Ring-tailed lemur)
Lineage: Eukaryota; Metazoa; Chordata; Mammalia; Primates; Lemuridae
Exons: 3
Source: RefSeq, a predicted model, not a curated record
CCUGGUUCAGCUGGUCGCGGGGGGCAGCGCGCCCGCAGGAUUUUCUGAAGCAUCCUUUAUUGCAAAACAUGAAGAUAGUUUGUUUAAGGAUUUAUUUCAAGACUACGAAAAAUGGGUUCGUCCUGUGGAACACCUGAAUGACAAAAUAAAAAUCAAGUUUGGCCUUGCAAUAUCUCAAUUAGUGGAUGUGGAUGAAAAAAAUCAGUUAAUGACAACAAAUGUCUGGUUGAAGCAGGUAUGUAUAAAA